This 242-nucleotide ribosomal RNA is filed under the name uncultured bacterium. RNAcentral's name for it is "partial 16S ribosomal RNA". It matches the Rfam family "Bacterial small subunit ribosomal RNA", at positions 91 to 334 of the family's 1533-position model. The record is from RNAcentral.
UCGACCGGCGCACGGGUGCGUAACGCGUAUGCAACCUACCUUUAACAGGGGAGUAACACUGAGAAAUUGGUACUAAUACCCCAUAAUAUCAUAGAAGGCAUCUUUUAUGGUUGAAAAUUCCGAUGGUUAGAGAUGGGCAUGCGUUGUAUUAGCUAGUUGGUGGGGUAACGGCUCACCAAGGCGACGAUACAUAGGGGGACUGAGAGGUUAACCCCCCACACUGGUACUGAGACACGGACCAG